This 497-nucleotide ribosomal RNA is filed under the name uncultured bacterium. RNAcentral's name for it is "partial 16S ribosomal RNA". It matches the Rfam family "Bacterial small subunit ribosomal RNA", at positions 28 to 507 of the family's 1533-position model. The record is from RNAcentral.
GACGAACGCUGGCGGCGUGCCUAAUACAUGCAAGUCGAGCGAUGAGGGUAGGUACUUGUACCGCCUGGGUGAGCGGCGGACGGGUGAGUAACACGUGGGGAAUCAACCUAUGAGAGGGGGACAACAUCUGGAAACGAAUGCUAAUACCGCAUAAUAAAUUUAAACACAAGUUUCAAGAUUGAAAGAUGCAAUUGCAUCACCCAAAGAAGAUAUCGCGUCGUCUUAGAUAGGUGGUGAGGGAAAGGCCCACCCAGGCGAAGAUACAACGCCGCCCUGAGAGGGUGAGCGGCCACAGUGGGACUGAGACACGGCCCAACCGCCUACGGGAGGCAGCAGGAGGGAAUCUUCGGCAAUGGACGAAAGACUGACCGAGCAACGCCGCGUGAGUGAAUAAGGGUGUCGGAUCGUAAAACUCUGUUAGUAGAGAAGAACGGUGGUGAGAGUGGAAAGCUCAUCAAGUGACGGUAACUACCCAGAAAGGGACGGCUAACUACGUG